This is a long non-coding RNA of Mauremys mutica (yellowpond turtle), 717 nucleotides long. RefSeq lists it as uncharacterized. The record is from RefSeq and is a predicted model, not a curated record. Lineage: Eukaryota; Metazoa; Chordata; Testudines; Geoemydidae. The transcript is spliced from 4 exons.
GAUUGGUCAGGGCUCCUCUUCCUAUUGGCUGUGUCGGGAGGGGCGGAGCUUCCCGGGGGGGCGUCACGUGGCCGCGAGCUGACAGUGCGGCGCCUUUUGAGCUGCACGUGGCGCGGCCCGGAGCACGAGCGGGCCUGCUUUCCAUCCACAAACUCUACCACUGAAGCUGAUGGGAGCUGCAGGCAUUCAGCGCCUUUGAACAUCAGGUCACUUUUUGCUUGCUGGCAGACUUGUCUGAGGAUCUGACAGAGGUGAAGCACAGGGACUACCCAGAAGAACACAGGCAGAUCAGAAUCACGCCUCUCCUGCAGCAAUGGGCUGGCUGGAAGCAUCGAACUGGCAGCUUCACAUUUCCUUGAUCGUGCUACUCUCCAUACACACGAAGGGUGCCUUGGCUGGACCAGUUGUUGAUUCACAUGUAACAGCAGUUUGGGGGAAGAAUGUCACCCUGAAAUGCAUAAAUGAAAUAAGUGGAACAAUAACACAAAUCUCAUGGGAGAAGAUACAUGGUAAAAAUAAGCAGACCAUUGCUGUUUAUCAUCCUGAAUGUGGGUUUGCUGCUCAAGGACAAUACCAAGGAAGAGUGUCACUUAAGAACUACUCACUUACUGAUGCAGCCAUCACCCUACACAAUAUAAGCUUCUCUGAUUCAGGAGAAUAUGUAUGCAAAGCAGUUACAUUCCCGCUAGGAAAUGUUGAGUCAUCAACAACUGUAAC